AUAAGCGGAGGAAAAGAAACCAACCGGGAUUGCCUCAGUAACGGCGAGUGAAGCGGCAAGAGCUCAAAUUUGAAAGCUGGCCCCUCCGGGGUCCGCAUUGUAAUUUGCAGAGGAUGCUUCGGGCUCAGCCCCCGUCUAAGUGCCCUGGAACGGGCCGUCGGAGAGGGUGAGAAUCCCGUCUGGGACGGGGUGCCUGGGUCCAUGUGAAGCUCCUUCGACGAGUCGAGUUGUUUGGGAAUGCAGCUCUAAAUGGGUGGUAAAUUUCAUCUAAAGCUAAAUACUGGCCGGAGACCGAUAGCGCACAAGUAGAGUGAUCGAAAGAUGAAAAGCACUUUGAAAAGAGAGUUAAACAGCACGUGAAAUUGUUGAAAGGGAAGCGCUUGCGAUCAGACUCGCCUGCGGGGUUCAGCCGGCAUUCGUGCCGGUGUACUUCCCCGUGGGCGGGCCAGCGUCGGUUCGGGUGGCCGGUCAAAGGCCCCGGGAAUGUGUCGCCCUCCGGGGCGUCUUAUAGCCCGGGGUGCCAUGCGGCCUACCUGGACCGAGGAACGCGCUUCGGCUCGGACGCUGGCGUAAUGGUCGUAAGCGACCCGUCUUGAAACACGGACCAAGGAGUCUAACAUCUACGCGAGUGUUUGGGUGGCAAACCCAUACGCGCAGUGAAAGCGAACGGAGGUGGGAACCCUUCGGGGCGCACCAUCGACCGAUCCUGAUGUCUUCGGAUGGAUUUGAGUAAGAGCGUAGCUGUGGGGACCCGAAAGAUGGUGAACUAUGCCUGAAUAGGGCGAAGCCAGAGGAAACUCUGGUGGAGGCUCGCAGCGGUUCUGACGUGCAAAUCGAUCGUCAAAUUUGGGUAUAGGGGCGAAAGACUAAUCGAACCAUCUGGUAGCUGGUUCCUGCCGAACCAUC
Molecule: ribosomal RNA, 906 nt
Filed under: Monascus ruber
Lineage: Eukaryota; Fungi; Ascomycota; Eurotiomycetes; Eurotiales; Aspergillaceae
Description: partial large subunit ribosomal RNA
Rfam family: Eukaryotic large subunit ribosomal RNA
Source: RNAcentral